UUACCAGGGCUUAACAUCCCCUGACAACCUGUGAAAGCAGGCCUUCUGGGCAACCAGACAGGGAGACAGGUGGUGCAUGGCUGUCGUCAGCUCGUGUCGUGAGAUGUUGGGUUGAGUCCCGCAACGAGCGCAACCCUCAUCAGGUGUUGCCAUCGGUUCGGCCGGGCACUCUCCUGAAACCGCCGGAGUAAUCCGGAGGAAGGUGGGGAUGACGCCAAGUCUGCAUGCCCCUUACGCCCUGGGCUGCACACGUGCUACAAUGGCCGGUACAAAGGGUUGCCAAGCCGCGAGGCGGAGCGAAUCCCAAAAAACCGGUCCCAGUUCGGAUCGGAUGUCUGCAACUCGACUCCGUGAAGCCGGAAUCGCUAGUAACCGUGGAUCAGCCACGCCACGGUGAAUACGUUCCCGGGCCUUGUACGCACCGCCCGUCAAGUCACGAAAGCUGGGGUCGCCCGAAGCCGAUGAGCUAACCCGCAAGGGAGGCGGUCGUCGAAGGUGACGCCAGUGAUUGGGACGAAGUCGUAACAAGGUAGCC
RNAcentral lists this ribosomal RNA (535 nucleotides) under uncultured bacterium. RNAcentral's name for it is "bacterial SSU rRNA". It matches the Rfam family "Bacterial small subunit ribosomal RNA", at positions 971 to 1501 of the family's 1533-position model. The record is from RNAcentral.